UGGGGAAUCUUGCGCAAUGGGCGAAAGCCUGACGCAGCAACGCCGCGUGGGUGAUGAAGGUCUUCGGAUCGUAAAGCCCUGUCAGGGGGGACGAGAAAGGACGGUACCCCCGAAGGAAGCACCGGCUAACUCCGUGCCAGCAGCCGCGGUAAUACGGAGGGUGCAAACGUUGUUCGGAAUUAUUGGGCGUAAAGCGCACGUAGGCGGCUAUGCAGGUCGGAUGUGAAAUCCCGGGGCUCAACCCCGGGCCUGCGUUCGAAACCGCAUAGCUGGAGUAUCGGAGGGAAAGGGGGAAUUCCUGGUGUAGGGGUGAAAUCCGUAGAUAUCAGGAGGAACACCGGUGGCGAAGGCGCCCUUUUGGCCGAUUACUGACGCUGAGGUGCGAAAGCGUGGGGAGCAAACAGG
This 405-nucleotide ribosomal RNA is filed under the name uncultured delta proteobacterium. Its description in RNAcentral is "bacterial SSU rRNA". It matches the Rfam family "Bacterial small subunit ribosomal RNA", at positions 355 to 776 of the family's 1533-position model. The record is from RNAcentral. Lineage: Bacteria; Deltaproteobacteria.